Molecule: long non-coding RNA, 1236 nt
Filed under: Ananas comosus (pineapple)
Lineage: Eukaryota; Viridiplantae; Streptophyta; Magnoliopsida; Poales; Bromeliaceae
Description: long non-coding RNA (ACOM_LNC025024)
Source: RNAcentral
CUGUGUCAUAGUAUUCCAAUCCAAACUCAACAAGGAGCUUUAAAAAAGACGAGUCUGUAGUUUCUAACACAGCACAAGUACACUAUAUCAUAACUAAUUAUUGGAUAUUGAGAUACUAGUAGCUUAACAGAUCAUUUGGCAAUACUAGGUUUAAAUACUAAUUGAUAAUUCGACAAGGGUUAAAUACUAAUUGAUAAUUCGACAAAGGUGUAAGAGUAUGCGCUUAAAACAUUGUUGCAUAUGUCAACAGACAGAAUAGAUUUAGAACAUGUUUUGACCAAAAACAUUAAAUAGAUAUAUGGUUGCAUGUAAAUGAAGUUGAUGAGACACGCAUACAAAACUCCUCAUCAAUUAAAGAAGCAAAAAGUGCAGUCUACUCCUUUUACAGUAAAAGAAAGGAAAUAGUCAAAUAGUUAGAUAAGAGGCAUGGUGAGUCGUAGUAUAUGAGAUGAUCAACCUUCUAUUCUCCCAGCAACAAAAAACAUGACUUUCGUUACCAGGCUAGCUUUCCAACUAUUACCAACAACAUAUAGGCAAAAUCAGCAACAUUUUCUCAAUCAUACUUAAAAUGCACUAGAAAUUAGGAAACAACUUUAUAUUAAAAGUUUGAUAAAGGAAAAAAAAAAUCUUAUUAACCUUUCGAAAACUUUCCAUGGAGCUCCUGAACUGAUGAAUUUAGCAAAUGAUGCAAACAGAUACCUUGUUUCAAUCAAACUACAGGGAUAUCGUAAGUUGCCUUGUUUUCAAAAAUGCACAAAUGUUCUGCAAACUAUGGUAGAGCUACGUAAGGUUCUCUGGAGUAACGCUUCUUUUACUUGCAGUCAUCUGCUUCAUUCUUUCAUUCAUGACCGAAACUCCUCAUUUACUUAGAAAAUGUGCAUUUUCAGCAGUCAAGCAGCAUAACAAUACCUCAACUCGACAAUUAGGAAGCAACCAGAAAAUUAUUCAAAAGAAAAAAAAACUUGCCGAGGAAAUCACUAUGAAAUGCCAUAGUAAAUACUUAAGCUGCCGUAGAAAGUAGAAACACUAUAGAGAAUAAGUUCUCUUGCCUAUUGUAGCACUGCAUCAUUCUCCAAUUAUUUUACGUCAAUAACACACAGUAUUGGGAGGGGUGGAAAAACUGUAAUUAAUCCGAAUGAGUUAACAUAAAUAGAAAAAAGGGGCGCAAACUAGGAUUUUUGGAUCAAACUAACCAUCACAAAUCCUCAAGAAAGAAGAAAGCUAUGUGCUUACCGC